GUGCUUACUUCAACAGCACAUAUACUAAAAUUGGAACAAUGCAGAGAAGAUUAGCAUGGCUCCUGCGCAAGGAUGACCAGAUGUGAAGAUACAAUGUAAUGUGCAUUU
Small nuclear RNA from Ochotona curzoniae (black-lipped pika), 108 nucleotides. The record is from RefSeq and is a predicted model, not a curated record. NCBI's taxonomy places the organism in Eukaryota, Metazoa, Chordata, Mammalia, Lagomorpha, Ochotonidae.